AGAGUUUGAUCCUGGCUCAGGAUGAACGCUGGCGGCGUGCCUAAUACAUGCAAGUCGAACGGCGCAGCAAUGCGUAGUGGCGACCGGGUGAGUAACACGUAGCUAACCUACCCCUUCGCGGGGAAUAACAAGCCGAAAGGCGUGCUAAUACCGCAUACCUUCACAUGGCUCAGACAAGUGUGAAGAAACUUACGGGGCGA
Molecule: ribosomal RNA, 200 nt
Filed under: uncultured bacterium
Lineage: Bacteria
Description: partial 16S ribosomal RNA
Rfam family: Bacterial small subunit ribosomal RNA
Source: RNAcentral